UACGUAGGGUGCGAGCGUUAAUCGGAAUUACUGGGCGUAAAGCGUGCGCAGGCGGUUCGUUGUGUCGGCGGUGAAAGCCCCGGGCUUAACCUGGGAAUGGCCGUUGAAACUGGCGAACUGGAGUGUGGCAGAGGGGGGUGGAAUUCCGCGUGUAGCAGUGAAAUGCGUAGAGAUGCGGAGGAACACCGAUGGCGAAGGCAGCCCCCUGGGCUGACACUGACGCUGACGACGAAAGCGUGGGGAGCAAACAGG
This 252-nucleotide ribosomal RNA is filed under the name uncultured bacterium. RNAcentral's name for it is "partial 16S ribosomal RNA". It matches the Rfam family "Bacterial small subunit ribosomal RNA", at positions 524 to 776 of the family's 1533-position model. The record is from RNAcentral.